RNAcentral lists this long non-coding RNA (638 nucleotides) under Coturnix japonica (Japanese quail). RNAcentral describes it as "lncRNA (ENSCJPG00005003521.1)". The record is from RNAcentral. Lineage: Eukaryota; Metazoa; Chordata; Aves; Galliformes; Phasianidae.
AUGCUAUGUAGAUUUGUAGCCACAGAAGAAGAGGAUACCACCUGGUGUUUUGCUUCCAGAACAGUUUCUAAAGUCUCAUUUUGCCAUUCUGGGACAUCAUUCUACAGUGUGGAAAGAAAGAAAAAAGACUGGGAAACAAAAGCAUUGCAUUUCUGCACUAGAUGGUGGGAUGGUGAGAUGCUCAUAAAAAGUCUGAACAUCUAUUGACCCUAUGAUCCAAAAUCUGCAAACAGUCUGUACGUAAUAGAACUGCACUGUAAAAGUUAUUUUGUUAAGGAAAACCUUUUUAUGUAUGCAUAAAUAAUUUAAAUUAGUAGCUGCAUAUUAGGAUAAUGAACAUUCAUGUAUUUGGUGGCCCUAAAGUUGGACAAAAUGAAAUAUCUAUUUGAUUUCAGAAAACAUGCGAUCAAGGGGCAUACGAUCUAUUGGCUACAUUGUUCAAAUGAGUUUCUAAGCCAUUUUUCAUCGUAGAAAUUCAGCCCUACGUAUUUACAGUGUUUGGAGACUUAUAAAUGGGAAAUACAUAAGACCUUGAAAGAACCGAAGUAAGACAAGUACCAUUCAAGAAAACCGCAUACCAGUUUCCAAUAGGGAGCAUCCACUUAAGCUUAUUUAGACUGUUUUAGGGUUUGGUGUCU